GCCGGUUUAGCUCAGUUGGUAGAGCAGCGGUUUUGUAAACCGAAGGUCGGGGGUUCGAGUCCCUCAACCGGCA
Molecule: transfer RNA, 73 nt
Filed under: uncultured Sphingomicrobium sp.
Lineage: Bacteria; Pseudomonadati; Pseudomonadota; Alphaproteobacteria; Sphingomonadales; Sphingomicrobiaceae
Rfam family: tRNA
About the family: Transfer RNA (tRNA) molecules are approximately 80 nucleotides in length. Their secondary structure includes four short double-helical elements and three loops (D, anti-codon, and T loops).
Source: RNAcentral